GUGGGGAAUUUUCCGCAAUGGGCGAAAGCCUGACGGAGCAACGCCGCGUGGAUGAUGAAGUCUUUCGGGACGUAAAAUCCUUUCAGCAGGGAAGAAGCGAGUGACGGUACCUGCAGAAGAAGCAUCGGCUAACUACGUGCCAGCAGCCGCGGUAAUACGUAGGAUGCGAGCGUUGUCCGGAAUUAUUGGGCGUAAAGAGAACGUAGGCGGUUUUUUAAGUUCGGUCUUAAAGACCGGGGCUCAACCCCGGGAAUGGAUUGAAAACUGGAAGACUCGAGGACAUCAGAGGAAAGUGGAAUUCCCAGUGUAGCGGUGAAAUGCGUAGAUAUUGGGAGGAACACCAGUGGCGAAAGCGACUUUCUGGGGUGUUUCUGACGCUGAGGUUCGAAAGCUCGGGGAGCAAACAGGAUUAGAAACCCGAGUAGUCC
This 428-nucleotide ribosomal RNA is filed under the name uncultured bacterium. RNAcentral describes it as "bacterial SSU rRNA". It matches the Rfam family "Bacterial small subunit ribosomal RNA", at positions 354 to 796 of the family's 1533-position model. The record is from RNAcentral.